AAUGGAGGGUACAUCAACUGGUCAACGACCGUACAUCCGUCUCACUUCUCAACUUCGAAAUGCCACCAAAAGUUCGGGAGACGAGGUUCGGUUUAAGUGCGAAGCACUUGGAACCCCACCACUCAAAUUUAUGUAAGUUUUUUUUUGAAAAUUUGUUAAAUCUUAAAUUUUGAAAAUUAAAAAUUUUGAAUUUUCCAAUAAUUGCAAAACUAUCAACAACCGUCAUACAAAACAUUUAAAAAAUUAUUAAAUAGGUUCAAUAAAUUUUUUUGUUUGGAGGUUUCAAAAUUAAAGUUUGCAACUUAAGAAUAUUUGUUAUAUAUUUGUUUUGAAAUAUAACUCCACCUAUUGGUUGUAAAAACUUCUUGCAGAACCAUUCCAAGCUUGAAAAAACCUUGAAAAAUUUUGUACUUCCUCCAAGUUACAAAACUUUACAAAAAUCCAUUGUAGCUUAAAAUUUAUAUUUUUUUUUGCAAGGCUCAAAAUUCGAUAAAGAUACCUUUUGCUAAAUUUUUAGCCGGACUAAAAACGCUUCAAACUUCCGAAACUCAAUUUUUUUUGAUUUUAGAUGGCUCAAAAACAAUGGUCCAGUGGAAAAGACGAAACGAGUGAAAAUUCGUGAUAAGGAGAAUUCAUCUCGACUAGUCAUUACACAAUUGGACGUAUUAGACAGUGGAUACUAUCAAUGCAUUGUCUCAAAUCCAGCAGCCUCGGUUAACACGACAAGUGUGCUCAGGG
Molecule: small RNA, 738 nt
Filed under: Caenorhabditis elegans
Lineage: Eukaryota; Metazoa; Nematoda; Chromadorea; Rhabditida; Rhabditidae
Description: Unclassified non-coding RNA D2013.14
Source: RNAcentral